CAGAUCCUCACUCUAGCAUAUAUAACUAGAGUGAAAAAAUAUAUUAAACUCGGUUAAUCCUGAAAUAUAUAUUCAGAAAUUAACCACCCCCUACUUUCGGGUAAUAUCAAAUUCGACCUACCUCAAUACAUAUACUUGAGGUCGAGUCACAUCUCCACCUUAUAAUAUACAACCAAGAUGAAUAUAAUCGGACUCUAAGACAUAUACUUCGAGCCAAUUAGACUCUAAUAUAUAGAGUUUAAAAUCGACCGGGUCUUAACACAUAUACUUUGGACCUAGUCAAUCUCAAAUCCAACUCAAUCCUAAUACAUAUGUUUAGGAUUCAAUAAACCGAGAUACGAUUCAUCUCAUCCAAUUUAUAAAGGUCUCUUAAUCGAAGGUGCCCCAAUCUACAGGGGGUAAUUAACAAUAGAUGCUUGCAUCUAUUGGAAGUCAUGGACCCGCGAUACCUGAUACUCAUACACAUAUACAUAUACAUACCAAUCUGAAUCAUGAAUACUACCCCACGGCCCAAAAAUUCAUCGACCGUGCGAGAUGCGUCAUUCGUGGUGGCAGACAAUCUUAUAUAUAUAUAUAUAUGUAUAUACAUAUAUGUAUAUGUAUAUACAUAUAUGUAUAUACAUAUAUGUAUAUACAUAUACAUAUAUGUAU
This 651-nucleotide long non-coding RNA is filed under the name Ananas comosus (pineapple). RNAcentral's name for it is "long non-coding RNA (ACOM_LNC041836)". The record is from RNAcentral. Lineage: Eukaryota; Viridiplantae; Streptophyta; Magnoliopsida; Poales; Bromeliaceae.